This is a non-coding RNA of Schizosaccharomyces pombe (fission yeast), 1631 nucleotides long. NCBI's taxonomy places the organism in Eukaryota, Fungi, Ascomycota, Schizosaccharomycetes, Schizosaccharomycetales, Schizosaccharomycetaceae. The record is from the annotation of a GenBank genome assembly.
AGCUAGUUUCGCAUAUAACCAAAAAGUUGAAAUAAGUAAGGGUAGAUCGUUAUUAAGGAUAAUAUUUUUAUUGAAGGAAGCCUGAAGAUGAUUUAACAACUUGAGCGGAGCGGCGAGCAUCUAAGAAAAGAUCGUUACAUUCUUCGAUAUCUUGUACACCAAUCUCUUUGUUACCAUGCAAACUGGCAAUAAUGCUAACGGGUGUCAACAGUUGUAUAACAUAACGGAGACUAGUACGAGAACCUUCUUGAGCCAGCUUGUCCAAACACUCAUCAGUAAGGAUGAUGUUUUCAACUUUUGCACGUAUCUGCAAAAUGGAACGAAUUUCUGACUCUGAAUAGGGGAGUGUGCGAACUAUUAGUAAUCUGUCAAGCAAAUCCGUAGGAAUACCAUGGGGAGCUUGAAUAUCCUCAGUACCCCGAAUGGUACAAAUGCCUCGAUUAGAGGCAAAGAUAACAAUAGGAGAAAUAGUGCUUUCUAGGGCUUGGUUGAGAUAAGUAAAGCACUCAAUGUCUAACAUAUGAACCUCGUCGAUGAACAAGACACCAGGAAUAAGUUCAGCGAUUCCUUGUUCGAUAUAUUUGUUGACAACCUUGUUAAUUUCACCACGAAGCUUAUCGGUGAUUUCAGUUUUCUUGGGCUUCAUUAACUGACCCAUCAUAGACAUUAUAUCUUGUCCUCCUUGAGGGCGGGCAUUGGCAAUAUCCAAAUCAUGAAGAGUCACGUCCUGAACAAUUUCUUUCCGCUUGUGUACCUCACCUUUAGGCAUAGGAACAUAUUCUUCCGCUUCUAAAUCGAACUCCGUAGCAUACGCAUCGCUACGACCCACUCUCUUUACGGCACCUGUAUUGGCUUCUAUGUAAAUAACGUCCCCGGUUGACACUUGUUCUCUUUGUAAAGAUUCGUAAAUGCUAGGAUCUAAUUUGAGCUGUUUGGUACCCUUAUGCGUUUUGAGGCCCAAAAGGACGUGUGAAAUGGUUUUUCCAUAACCGCCCAAAGGAUUUUCGGCUUCUUCGGGAACCAUUUCUGUAACCUCACCCUCAUACACUUCUUUUGUUUCCUUUACCCGAAGACCAAUGGCCCUUCGAAAGUUUUCCAUUAAAGCCUCAGUUUUCUUUAUUUCACUAGAGUAGACUUCACUUCCCACCAUAGGACAAAAAGGAACUUUAGGACCAAGUUCUUGGGCAAUCGCCAAGGCCAGUGCUGUUUUACCAGUACCAGCACCUCCAGCGAACAAUACACCUUUACCACCAAAUUUUUUAGACUUGAUUAAAUCAGUGAUGAUGCCACAAGCCUAAGAAAAUAUAUUAGAAUACAUUAUAUUAAAGAAUUAUCAGGAAUGCUUACCUCACGAGCCUUUUCUUGUCCAAUGAAACCUCCACCAACAGAUUCACAAGUUCCAUCUUCUUUUAGGCCUAAACCUUUGAUAUGUGAAUGUGUAGUAAUCCUAUUAUCACGGCCAUUUCCCUUAACCUCGCUGAUUUGGACCAUUUUAUAAGUAGUUGGUUGAGGAUAGCUUGCUUUCAAAAUGUGACAUUAGGGUUGGGUGUAGCAAAAUAGUACCAAGUUAAAUAAGAAGAAAGUAGAGCUGAGGUAAUGAAAAAGACAGGAAAUGAAAUAAUAAAGCAAAG